GUGGAUUAGCUACCCCGGUAGUCCACGCCGUAAACGUUGGGCGCUAGGUGUGGGGAACAUUCCACGUUCUCCGUGCCGCAGCUAACGCAUUAAGCGCCCCGCCUGGGGAGUACGGCCGCAAGGCUAAAACUCAAAGGAAUUGACGGGGGCCCGCACAAGCGGCGGAGCAUGCGGCUUAAUUCGACGCAACGCGAAGAACCUUACCAAGGCUUGACAUAUAGGGAAAUCUCACAGAGAUGUGAGGUCCGCAAGGGCCCUAUACAGGUGGUGCAUGGCCGUCGCCAGCU
RNAcentral lists this ribosomal RNA (287 nucleotides) under uncultured bacterium. Its description in RNAcentral is "partial 16S ribosomal RNA". It matches the Rfam family "Bacterial small subunit ribosomal RNA", at positions 773 to 1060 of the family's 1533-position model. The record is from RNAcentral.